RNAcentral lists this ribosomal RNA (469 nucleotides) under uncultured bacterium. Its description in RNAcentral is "partial 16S ribosomal RNA". It matches the Rfam family "Bacterial small subunit ribosomal RNA", at positions 28 to 507 of the family's 1533-position model. The record is from RNAcentral.
GACGAACGCUGGCGGCGUGCUUAACACAUGCCAGUCGAACGAUGAUCUCCCGCUUGCGGGGGUGAUUAGUGGCGAACGGGUGAGUAAUACGUGAGUAACCUGCCCUUGACUCUGGGAUAAGCCUGGGAAACCGGGUCUAAUACUGGAUACUACUUCCUGCCGCAUGGUGGGGGGUGGAAAGGGUUUUACUGGUUUUGGAUGGGCUCACGGCCUAUCAGCUUGUUGGUGGAGUAAUGGCUCACCAAGGCGACGACGGGUAGCCGGCCUGAGAGGGUGACCGGCCACACUGGGACUGAGACACGGCCCAGACUCCUACGGGAGGCAGCAGUGGGGAAUAUUGCACAAUGGGCGGAAGCCUGAUGCAGCGACGCCGCGUGAGGGGUGACGGCCUUCGGGUUGGAAACCUCUUUCAGCAGGGAAGAAGCCACAAGUGACGGUACCUGCAGAAGAAGCGCCGGCUAACUACGUG